UAUCUCGGCUCUCGCAUCGAUGAAGAACGUAGCGAAAUGCGAUACUUGGUGUGAAUUGCAGAAUCCCGUGAACCAUCGAGUUUUUGAACGCAAGUUGCGCCCAAAGCCAUUAGGCUAAGGGCACGUCUGCCUGGGCGUCACGCAUCACGUCGCCCCAACCC
This 161-nucleotide ribosomal RNA is filed under the name Ilex mitis. RNAcentral's name for it is "5.8S ribosomal RNA". The stretch from base 1 to 140 matches the Rfam family "5.8S ribosomal RNA", at positions 17 to 154 of the family's 154-position model. Rfam says of the family: 5.8S ribosomal RNA (5.8S rRNA) is a component of the large subunit of the eukaryotic ribosome. Lineage: Eukaryota; Viridiplantae; Streptophyta; Magnoliopsida; Aquifoliales; Aquifoliaceae. The record is from RNAcentral.